This 370-nucleotide ribosomal RNA is filed under the name uncultured bacterium. RNAcentral's name for it is "bacterial SSU rRNA". It matches the Rfam family "Bacterial small subunit ribosomal RNA", at positions 527 to 896 of the family's 1533-position model. The record is from RNAcentral.
GUAUGGUGCAAGCGUUAUCCGGAUUUACUGGGUGUAAAGGGAGCGUAGACGGAGUGGCAAGUCUGAUGUGAAAACCCGGGGCUCAACCCCGGGACUGCAUUGGAAACUGUCAAUCUAGAGUACCGGAGAGGUAAGCGGAAUUCCUAGUGUAGCGGUGAAAUGCGUAGAUAUUAGGAGGAACACCAGUGGCGAAGGCGGCUUACUGGACGGAAACUGACGUUGAGGCUCGAAAGCGUGGGGAGCAAACAGGAUUAGAUGCCCUGGUAGUCCACGCCGUAAACGAUGACUACUAGGUGUCGGGCAGCAAAGCUGUUCGGUGCCGCAGCAAACGCAAUAAGUAGUCCACCUGGGGAGUACGUUCGCAAGAAUG